Non-coding RNA from Pogona vitticeps (central bearded dragon), 204 nucleotides. NCBI's taxonomy places the organism in Eukaryota, Metazoa, Chordata, Lepidosauria, Squamata, Agamidae. The record is from RefSeq and is a predicted model, not a curated record.
AAGGAUUUGUUGAAACAAGGCGUCCAAGCUCAUGUUUCUACUCUCUGCCUCUCCUUGGGAGGAAGAAAUGGAGCUUAAAGAAGCAUGUGAAGGUCUUCUACUCCUCACUUAAUUUUCACAACAACCCUGUGAGAACUUGUUGAAAAACAGGCCUUGGCUAACUGAUGAAGAAAAGAAGUCAGGAAGAAAAGAGAGACCCCCCCC